Molecule: long non-coding RNA, 415 nt
Organism: Acipenser ruthenus (sterlet)
Lineage: Eukaryota; Metazoa; Chordata; Actinopteri; Acipenseriformes; Acipenseridae
Exons: 3
Source: RefSeq, a predicted model, not a curated record
CUACUGCGCUCUAAAGAUGAAGUCAGCUUCGGAAGAGAAGCCUGAUAAGAGGAGGAAGCUGUUAGCUACUGGAAUUUAAAGAAAGAAAGAAAAGAAAGAAAGAAAGAAAAAAAACACGAGAAGCAUUGUAACCUUGCUGAGUUUCAUUCUUCCUCUGCUCUCCUGCUUCCCAGCAAAGGAGAACACUCUGCUCAGAGAUUCCCCUCGGGACAAAGUCAUCUCCAGUUUCCAGCUUGUUCAGACAUGGCAUUUGGCUGAAAAAAACCCCGCAAACGACCAGUACAACUCAAAAGAAAAUGUCACAUUACGUCAAUAAAAAUGAUUACUGGCAAUUGUCUUUCAAUACAAUUUCAUAUCAAUAACAAUCAGGUGGAUUUAAUCAAUCGCAGAUCGGGUUAAUAAUCAAUAAAGAUUA